This is a non-coding RNA of Salmo salar (Atlantic salmon), 74 nucleotides long. NCBI's taxonomy places the organism in Eukaryota, Metazoa, Chordata, Actinopteri, Salmoniformes, Salmonidae. The record is from Rfam.
UAGCUCAGUUGGUAGAGCAUGGUGUUUGCAAUGCAUGGUGUUUGCAACGCCAGGGUUGUGGGUUCGAUUCCCAC